RNAcentral lists this long non-coding RNA (224 nucleotides) under Brachypodium distachyon (stiff brome). RNAcentral describes it as "long non-coding RNA (BDIS_LNC005337)". The record is from RNAcentral. Lineage: Eukaryota; Viridiplantae; Streptophyta; Magnoliopsida; Poales; Poaceae.
ACCAAAGUUAAUUUAUGUUUGGAUAUUAACAGCAUAUUCUGCUCUGCGCACGAGUUAUUUUUAUGUUUUCUAUUUUUUUACGUGCGUUGGUACUUUUGCAAGUUCAUGCAUUUGCGUAGAAGUUAAAUGAUGUAUAUUAAUGUUUCCGUGUAUUCCAGCUGGACAAGAUCCCACCCACUGAAAACACGGUGAAUCAUGAUGAACUGCUAACCCAUUCUAGUGAU